Molecule: ribosomal RNA, 253 nt
Filed under: uncultured bacterium
Lineage: Bacteria
Description: partial 16S ribosomal RNA
Rfam family: Bacterial small subunit ribosomal RNA
Source: RNAcentral
GACAGAGGGUGCGAACGUUGUUCGGAAUUACUGGGCGUAAAGCGCAUGUAGGCGGCAGCGCAAGUCGGGCGUGAAAUCCCACGGCUCAACCGUGGAAGUGCACUCGAAACUGCGCAGCUAGAGUCCUGGAGAGGAAGGAGGAAUGCUUGGUGUAGAGGUGAAAUUCGUAGAUAUCAAGCGGAACACCGGUGGCGAAGGCGGCCUUCUGGACAGUGACUGACGCUGAGAUGCGAAAGCGUGGGGAGCAAACAGG